UACGAAGGUCCCAAGCGUUAUCCGGAUUUAUUGGGUUUAAAGGGUGCGUAGGCGGGCUAUUAAGUCAGUGGUGAAAGCCCCAAGCUUAACUUGGGAACUGCAUCCGAUACUGGAUGGCUUGAAUCCGGGAGAGGGAUGCAGAAUUCCAGGUGUAGCGGUGAAAUGCGUAGAUAUCUGGAGGAAUACCGGUGGCGAAGGCGGCAUCCUGGACCGGCAUUGACGCUGAGGAGCGAAAGCUAGGGGAGCAAACGGG
RNAcentral lists this ribosomal RNA (253 nucleotides) under uncultured bacterium. Its description in RNAcentral is "partial 16S ribosomal RNA". It matches the Rfam family "Bacterial small subunit ribosomal RNA", at positions 524 to 776 of the family's 1533-position model. The record is from RNAcentral.